UUUUAAUCUUAGAAGGACGAUGUUGGUGUCCCAAAGCAGAAUCCUUUGUCCCGGCGGAGCCACCAGCAGAGCCAGGAGCCCCCGAAGGACUUUGACCACACCCCCCACCCCACCCAGCCUGUGCCUGGUCCCCUGAGUGGAGCCUGGGCCAUCCUCGACCUCACUGCUGGGGUGAUGGAGAAGCCCCUGCCUGAGGCGAGAGUUUCUCAGGCGGCCGGAGUUUCCUCCCGUCUGCUCCAGACACAUUUAAACAAGCUGAGAACUUCCGUCCCCCCACACUCCCCCCACGGACCCCCACGGACCCCUCUGCAAAUGAACAUGGGCCUGGAAAUCGGGGUUUGGGUUACAGAGAGCACGGGGAGUUCUGUUCGUGAAGUAACACGGAGCACGAACAUUAGCAGAUGGAGUCUCACUCUGUAGCCCAGGCUGGAGUGCAAUGGCGUGAUCUCGGCUCACUGCAACCUCCACCUCCCAGGUUCAAGCGAUUCUCCUGUCUCAGCCUCCAAAUAGCUGGGAUUACAGGUGUGCGCCACCACGCCAGCUAAUUUUUGUAUUUUUAGUAGAGAUAGGGUUUCACCGUAUCGGUCAGGCUGGUCUCGAACUCCUGACCUCGGGUGAUCUGCCCACCUCGGCCUCCCGAAGUGCUGGGAUUACAGGCGUGAGCCACCGCACCCAGCCAGCCUUUCGGUCUUGAAGAGUCUCUGGGAGGGCCUCAGAGAAUGUCUUGGUUUCUUCACUCUUGGGUUCCCAUCGACUGAGGUCCGGGCUGGGAAGGGGUGAUGAGCCCAGGACUCUUCUGGCAAGGGUGAGUGUCUGUGUUGGGAGGCUCACUUCUGCCACUGCUCCUUGGUGACGUGGGGCUGGCUGGAGAGUCCCUCCGUUCCUGGGAGUCCCUCAGUGGGGGGUGGCGGGGGGAGGUGGGCCACUGCAAUGAAUCUGACACCAGCCACCUCUCUCCCCGCCCUGCCGGCAGCCCUCACUCAUGGGGGUGUCUAUCCUCCUUUCCCCAAAGCUGGGGGUCCUGAGUGCGGUUGAAGUAACGUCUGGUCCUCCUUAGAACAGUGGGGCUUGGAAUUCAUUCAAGGGAAGAAGAGUGAAGGAACGCAGAUGCCGACUGCGUGGAGCACCCCCAGCUGCGGCCCCUAGAGCCUGGGAGCUCUGUGAGCCAGAAAGAGAACGGCUGGGGAGAGGGCUGUAUGGGGCCCCAUUCUUCCAAGGCUGCUGCGGAGGACCGACAGGGCCCAGGGACCCUGACUGAGGUGUGCUGAGCACAGCAGCUCUGGACAGGCCACACCGGCCUCUCUGUUGUCUGUCUGUCAUCUGUCUGCCUGUUGGUUGGCAAGAACAGACCUGGUGCUGUGAGAAGAGGCCCCCUGGGCCCUGCCUCUCCCAUUGACUGAGCCUGGACUGCAGACCCAGC
Molecule: long non-coding RNA, 1420 nt
Filed under: Piliocolobus tephrosceles (Ugandan red Colobus)
Lineage: Eukaryota; Metazoa; Chordata; Mammalia; Primates; Cercopithecidae
Description: lncRNA (ENSPTEG00000025805.1)
Source: RNAcentral